Hydrogenibacillus schlegelii is the source of this 73-nucleotide non-coding RNA. Lineage: Bacteria; Bacillati; Bacillota; Bacilli; Thermicanales; Thermicanaceae. The record is from Rfam.
GGGGCCGUAGCUCAGCUGGGAGAGCGCGUGAAUGGCAUUCACGAGGUCGGCGGUUCGAUCCCGCUCGGCUCCA